Molecule: ribosomal RNA, 253 nt
Filed under: uncultured bacterium
Lineage: Bacteria
Description: partial 16S ribosomal RNA
Rfam family: Bacterial small subunit ribosomal RNA
Source: RNAcentral
UACGGAGGGAGCUAGCGUUGUUCGGCAUUACUGGGCGUAAAGCGCACGUAGGCGGUUAUUCAAGUCAGAGGUGAAAGCCCGGGGCUCAACUCCGGAACUGCCUUUGAAACUAGAUAGCUUGAAUCCAGGAGAUGUGAGUGGAAUUCCGAGUGUAGAGGUGAAAUUCGUAGAUAUUCGGAAGAACACCAGUGGCGAAGGCGGCUCACUGGCCCGGUACUGACGCUGAGGUGCGAAAGCGUGGGGAGCAAACAGG